UUACGGUCAUGUCACGCUGAAACACCGCAUCUCCUAUGGUCACCGAAGAUAAAUAAGGUCGAGCCUGCCCAGUACCUAGAUGGGUGACCGCUUGGGAAUACCACGUGCUGUAAG
Molecule: non-coding RNA, 114 nt
Organism: Acanthosepion pharaonis
Lineage: Eukaryota; Metazoa; Mollusca; Cephalopoda; Sepiida; Sepiidae
Source: the annotation of a GenBank genome assembly